Molecule: long non-coding RNA, 897 nt
Organism: Eleginops maclovinus (Patagonian blennie)
Lineage: Eukaryota; Metazoa; Chordata; Actinopteri; Perciformes; Eleginopidae
Exons: 3
Source: RefSeq, a predicted model, not a curated record
GUCACAAAACCAAACACGGCCUCUUAUGAUGCCAUCCUGGCAGCACAAGGGGAUCCACUCUUAAUCCCAAAGCUUCAAUUCUUCCUCGCCAUUGCGAGAAGUUUUAACCCAUUUCUCAAGAAGUACCAAACAGACGAGCCAGUGUUGCCUUUUUUGGCAGAAGAUUUAACUGAGCUCCUGUUGAGUUUACUGCGGCGGUUCAUCAAAAGGGAACUCCUACAGGACCAAACCCCCCUGCAGCUGAUUAAAUUGGACAUCUCUGAGGAGAAGAACUGGGUCUCCCUCAAAAGGGUAGAUAUAGGCUUGGGGGCUGAAUCUGCCAUCAAGGUGAUGUCAUCAUUCAGCAAUUCACAUCCUUUCUCUCGGUCGUGGGCAGAGAAGAAGAAUUUGUUUCCUUCCAACCCCUGAGGCAGCGUCUGGAUGUCUUUCUCCACUCCAAACUCUGCACGUCCCACCCUGACCUGCUAAAGUUCUGCCAAAGUGCUCUCCUCCUGUCCCAUGGACAAGCCACAGUGGAGAGAGGCUUCUCAGUAAAUAAGGAGGUAGAAACGUGCAACCUCCGUGAUGAAUCUCUCGAAGCCCUCAGAUUAAUCUGCGAUAAGGUAAUUGUCUGUGGCGGCGUUCUGAAAGUUCCUCUGACCAAGGAGCUCCUGGCCUCUGCUGCUUCAUCGAGGUCACAAUACAGGCUAUACCUUGAUAGUGAGCGGAAAAAAAAGGAGAAUGCCACACAGGAGCUGAAGAGGAAAGCAGCAGAGAAAGAGCUGGAGGACCUCCGGAACCGGCGGCAGGUACUCCACAGUGUGUGCCAUUCACUCCAAAAUGACGCCGACAAAUAUGCAGAGAUGGCCGAGGGAAAGGCAGGAACAAAGAUGGCUGAGCUCAUCACAAAAUCAAACA